GACAAACGCUGGCGGCGUACCUAAGACAUGCAAGUCGAACGGCCCUUCUGCGGGGGGGCAGUGGCGGACGGGUGAGGAACACGUAUGGAACCUAGCACGAGCAGGGGGAUAACUCUGGGAAACCAGGGCUAAGACCGCGUACGCUCUCGAGGGGAAGGACCUUGAGAGGAAAGGGGCUGGUGAGGAGCCAGGUCUGGCUUGUGGGGGGCAUGCGCCUGAUUAGCUAGUUGGUGGGGUAAGAGCCUACCAAGGCGACGAUCAGUCGCUGGUCUGAGAG
RNAcentral lists this ribosomal RNA (277 nucleotides) under uncultured bacterium. RNAcentral's name for it is "partial 16S ribosomal RNA". It matches the Rfam family "Bacterial small subunit ribosomal RNA", at positions 28 to 298 of the family's 1533-position model. The record is from RNAcentral.